RNAcentral lists this transfer RNA (69 nucleotides) under Marmota monax (woodchuck). RNAcentral's name for it is "tRNA.Ala". The record is from RNAcentral. Lineage: Eukaryota; Metazoa; Chordata; Mammalia; Rodentia; Sciuridae.
GGUUGUGGUUCAGUGGUAGAGCGCUUGUCUCGCACAUGUGAGGCACUGGGUUCGAUCCUCAGCACCCCA